This 756-nucleotide ribosomal RNA is filed under the name uncultured bacterium. Its description in RNAcentral is "bacterial SSU rRNA". It matches the Rfam family "Bacterial small subunit ribosomal RNA", at positions 8 to 796 of the family's 1533-position model. The record is from RNAcentral.
AGAGUUUGAUCCUGGCUCAGAAUCAACGCUGGCGGCGUGCCUAACACAUGCAAGUCGCACGAGAAAGGGUAGCAAUACCCGAGUACAGUGGCGCACGGGUGAGUAACACGUGGAUCAUCUACCUCUUUGUGGGGGAUAACUCUGGGAAACCGGAGCUAAUACCGCAUAAGCUCGAGAGAGGAAAGCAGCAAUGCGCAGAGAGAGGAGUCCGCGGCCGAUUAGCUAGUUGGCGGGGUAAUGGCCCACCAAGGCGAUGAUCGGUAGCCGGCCUGAGAGGGCACACGGCCACACUGGCACUGAAACACGGGCCAGACUCCUACGGGAGGCAGCAGUGGGGAAUCUUGCACAAUGGGGGCAACCCUGAUGCAGCGACGCCGCGUGAGCGAUGAAGCCCUUCGGGGUGUAAAGCUCUUUCGGCAGGGACGAUAAUGACGGUACCUGAAGAAGAAGCUGCGGCUAACUACGUGCCAGCAGCCGCGGUAAUACGUAGGCAGCAAGCGUUGUUCGGAAUUACUGGGCGUAAAGAGUGUGUAGGCGGUUUUCUAAGUUUGGUGUGAAAUCUCCCGGCUUAACUGGGAGGGUGCGCCGAAAACUGGAAGGCUUGAGUGUCGGAGAGGAUAGCGGAAUUCCCCGUGUAGCGGUGAAAUGCGUAGAUAUCGGGAGGAACACCUGCGGUGUAGACGGCUAUCUGGACGACCACUGACGCUGAGACACGAAAGCGUGGGUAGCAAACAGGAUUAGAUACCCUAGUAGUCC